UUACGACCAUAUCACGUUGAAACAUUGGUUCUCGAGCGAUCACCAAAGUUAAGCAACACGAGCCUGUUCAGUACUUAGGUGGGUGACCGCUCGGAAAUAUCAGAUGUUGUAAG
Molecule: non-coding RNA, 113 nt
Organism: Acanthosepion pharaonis
Lineage: Eukaryota; Metazoa; Mollusca; Cephalopoda; Sepiida; Sepiidae
Source: the annotation of a GenBank genome assembly